Lethenteron reissneri (Far Eastern brook lamprey) is the source of this 713-nucleotide long non-coding RNA. RefSeq lists it as uncharacterized. NCBI's taxonomy places the organism in Eukaryota, Metazoa, Chordata, Hyperoartia, Petromyzontiformes, Petromyzontidae. The record is from RefSeq and is a predicted model, not a curated record.
GACACUACAUCACGUCCCAGAGUGGCUGCUCACCGACUGCCUGGGCUCCACGUAUCCCGAGGCAGAGGAGGGACAGAAUUAGCUUUCUGCUUUGCCACAGAACAACGGCGAGAUCGCUUCCCGAUAGUUGUCGUUGUUUCGUACCCACAGUGCAUGUGGGGCACCGAAGAGUUUUUAUUUGAUUUGUCCGUGAUUUGUGCCUCAACAAAUUUUCUGCCAUCGCGUCCUUAGGCGAUUUGUCACAGGCAAAGGCCAAAGGAACGUCACGUGGGGAGCUCCCCGAUUCACCCGACAUCCAUGCACGACCGGCCAUAAUGGAAUGCUUCAGGGACGGCCAAUUUGUCUUCUGACGUGACAUUGCCCCCUCUUGCCAGCCGCGACACGGGUACUCAAGCAGCGGUCCUGUGACAUCAACAUCCAUCCUCUCUGCCACACUCGAGUCCCAAGCCCAACUCCACAAAAAGCCAAUCAUCCGAGCAGCAGGUCAGGACCAGGGCCUCGACUCUCGUGAAACCUCCAAGAAAGCAGAAUGCUUCACGUUGGACGUUGACAUUUGAGGCCCGGAUUCACAUGCUGUAGGAAACAAAUCACCGAAGUGAACACUGAAGAUGACGCAGCCCUGCAGGGAGUCGAAGACUGAGAAGAGGAUCUGAAAGAGGCUUGAGCGGGGGUCAGUGAUGGCCAAAACGGCCGACAUCCACGUGAGGGCGAGG